This is a long non-coding RNA of Megalobrama amblycephala (Wuchang bream), 971 nucleotides long. RefSeq lists it as uncharacterized. The transcript is spliced from 2 exons. Lineage: Eukaryota; Metazoa; Chordata; Actinopteri; Cypriniformes; Xenocyprididae. The record is from RefSeq and is a predicted model, not a curated record.
UUUUCUGAUUCUUGAUGUCUGUGCAUUUGCUUCAGAGCUUUGGUGGAGCAGGAUCUGCAAGAAAAGGUGACGACAGUAUUUGUUAGAAAAAAAAAAGAGGAAAACCUGAAACAAAAUAAAAAUAUAUAUAAAGAUGUGAAUGUCCUCAGACUGGUGAGAGCACUGAGGAUGGAGAGACACAGCAGAUCCUGGGAAUGGUUCAGUGUCAUGGACGAGAUCCUUCAUCAUUCCUCCUUCCAAGUGACUCGAUCAAGGACACACUGGAGGAGACGCUGCAGAGAUCGAACCAGCAACCUUCUGCUGACCAGCUCAGUGGUUUAGACCACCACACCACAAAACUAAUGAAGCCAUGACAAGAAUUAGCAAUUGAAAAAUAUGAAAUGAAAUAUGCAAGAAACAGAAUGCUGACAUGAAUUAAUUGUAAAAUGUUUUAAUCUGCUGAUGGAGAGCACAUGAAUGUUUGCAGCAGCAGAUUGUCCCGCACAUCUUCUCCCACUCCUGCUCCAAGGUUGAGGGGUUCAGGGGUCCAUCAUCAUCAUCAUCAUCAUCAUCAUCUUCAGCAGUGAGGAACAUGAUGAUGAAGGUGUUCAUCAGCUGCUUGAUCAGAAUAAAGCUGCAGAAUUGGCACAGCUGUGUUGAGAUGACAACAGGACUGUAAAUACCUGAUUGUUAGAUCAAUACAUUUGAAUAAAGCUUUGUUUCGUGUGUUGUUGACUUGUAUAUGCAUUUAUUUGUCAUUAUUACUUUUAUUAAUUCUUUACUUAUUAAUUAUGCUAUUAUAAGUAAAUGUAUAUAUUUUAAUAAGCAAUGAAUUAAUGCAUGAAUUGACUGUAAAUGGAGAUGUAUUCACAUCAGCUGUAUUUGUCUAGUGUGUGUUCAUGCACAGCUGUCAUAUAACUAAACAUUACAUUUUGCUUGUUUUAUUAAAGAAGUAAAAUGAAAAGUAAUAUAAUUAAGUUUUGGUCAGCAUU